ACCACCGAGCACCAUCUUUCACAAUCAUCACCUUCCUCAGUCAAAUCCAACUCGAAACCACCAGAUUAGUCAUUCGGGUGACCUGGGAAUCACAGAGAUGGCUCUGCAUGUUCCGUCUGAUACCUGGAUGUGGGGGCUGAUCGGGGCAGCUCUACGUUUUUCCGGCGAAGUUCGACUAAAGAACGGCGUUUCAGUCGUUGAUUUUACCUGAGAAUCAUUUCUAUUCGACCGCGGGUAUUUUUCAUAGGUUUUGGACUCGAAUCCGAGAUUAUAACUCCUGUAGUCUUUCUGUUCCUCACCCCAGGUUCAGGUGCGGAGCUCCGGCGAGAAAUCCAACGAGCUUGGGGUUCCAUGAGCUCAAAUUGGUUCCGUUUGAAACUCAGGUAACCAAACCAUGCUCUGCAUGUUAAUUUCAAGUUCGAAUUGAGGGUUUUAGUCAUUAUUUCGUCUCUGUUCUUCAUUCCCUAGAAUCCGGCAAGGAAAAUCCGGCGAGUUCAUGUUGAAUCUGAGGUGAAUUCAACGUCUUCUUUUCCUAAAAAGGUUGUAGUUUCCGGCGAAGUUCUGGCGAAGCUCCAGCAACGGUGACGACCACCGGCGGAGGCUAAUAUUCCGUUAACUUUAACGGAAUCUCGUACGGAAGGUACGUUGGUGGGAAGUGGUACCAUCCUCGCUAGUUGAGCGACUCCUUGGCAAUCAAAUAUAUGUCGAUCUGUUAUACUAAGGUGCGUACAUGGCAUUGCAAUCCUUUAUCAAGAUGUCUAGAAAACAACAGAAGUCACAGUCUUGCUUCACAAUCUGAAUGGUAAGUCAAUGAUAUAUCUAGAUUAAGCUUCAGAUCGAUAUGUAGUCUGUAACAUGAAAACAUUUAAGUUGAGUCUCGUUUGAUCGAUAUGUGGUAAGUCAAUGAUACGAAUACGUUUAAAUUACAUUUACAUCCUAUAGAACGCGUUCAUACUCCUGAAGCAUAUCCAAAAUCUAAUAAUAACAUGUACGGUACUAACUUCUUGCCUCAAGAAGUCGUCACAUUAUAGUAUAGAGUUGAAAUAUCACCAUGGCCAAAAUGUAGGGAGGAAUCGUGAUCUAGGAACAUAUGAUUAGAGGACAAUACUCCCCCUCAGUUUGGAAGUACAUCAAGAGAUUCAGGACGCGGGAAUAUUUGUGCUUUUGGAUAAUUAACAGUUUAAAAAAGGAGCGAUCCCAAGCCAACAA
Non-coding RNA from Malus domestica (apple), 1209 nucleotides. The record is from RefSeq and is a predicted model, not a curated record. Lineage: Eukaryota; Viridiplantae; Streptophyta; Magnoliopsida; Rosales; Rosaceae.